This 253-nucleotide ribosomal RNA is filed under the name uncultured bacterium. RNAcentral describes it as "partial 16S ribosomal RNA". It matches the Rfam family "Bacterial small subunit ribosomal RNA", at positions 524 to 776 of the family's 1533-position model. The record is from RNAcentral.
UACGAAGGGGGCUAGCGUUGCUCGGAAUCACUGGGCGUAAAGCGCACGUAGGCGGAUUGCUAAGUCAGGGGUGAAAUCCUGGAGCUCAACUCCAGAACUGCCCUUGAUACUGGCGGUCUCGAGUCCGGGAGAGGUGAGUGGAACUGCGAGUGUAGAGGUGAAAUUCGUAGAUAUUCGCAAGAACACCAGUGGCGAAGGCGGCUCACGGGCCCGAUACUGACGCUGAGGCACGAAAGCGUGGGGAGCAAACAGG